GAUGAACGCUGGCGGCGUGCCUAAUACAUGCAAGUCGAACGGACGAUCGCAAGGUCGUUAGUGGCGAACGGGUGAGUAACGCGUUGGUGACCUGCCCUUUAGUGGGGGGAUACCAGACCGAAAGGUCUGCUAAUACCGCGAUGAGAUCGAGGGAGACUAGAAGCUCUCGAUGAAACCGAAAGGUGCUGAAGGAGGGGCCUGCGUCCAUCAGCUAGUUGGUAAGGUACGGCUUACCAAGGCGAUGACGGGUAGGGGACCUGAGAGGGUGACCCCCCACAAUGGAACUGAAACACGGGCCAGACACCUACGGGUGGCAG
This 317-nucleotide ribosomal RNA is filed under the name uncultured Chloroflexota bacterium. RNAcentral describes it as "bacterial SSU rRNA". It matches the Rfam family "Bacterial small subunit ribosomal RNA", at positions 28 to 351 of the family's 1533-position model. The record is from RNAcentral. Lineage: Bacteria; Bacillati; Chloroflexota.